UACGUAGGGGGCUAGCGUUGUCCGGAAUCAUUGGGCGUAAAGCGCGCGUAGGCGGCCAGAUAAGUCCGGUGUGAAAGUCACAGGCUCAACCUGUGAAUGCCGCUGGAAACUGUCUGGCUAGAGUCCGGAAGGGGCGAGUGGAAUUCCUGGUGUAGCGGUGAAAUGCGUAGAUAUCUGGAGGAACACCGGUGGCGAAGGCGACAUCCUGGACCGGUAUUGACGCUGAGGCGCGAAAGCCAGGGGAGCAAACGGG
This 253-nucleotide ribosomal RNA is filed under the name uncultured bacterium. RNAcentral's name for it is "partial 16S ribosomal RNA". It matches the Rfam family "Bacterial small subunit ribosomal RNA", at positions 524 to 776 of the family's 1533-position model. The record is from RNAcentral.